This 24-nucleotide non-coding RNA is filed under the name Arabidopsis thaliana (thale cress). The record is from RNAcentral. Lineage: Eukaryota; Viridiplantae; Streptophyta; Magnoliopsida; Brassicales; Brassicaceae.
UAGAGGUGUCAAAAUAGGUAACCC